RNAcentral lists this ribosomal RNA (515 nucleotides) under uncultured bacterium. RNAcentral's name for it is "bacterial SSU rRNA". It matches the Rfam family "Bacterial small subunit ribosomal RNA", at positions 337 to 843 of the family's 1533-position model. The record is from RNAcentral.
UCCUACGGGAGGCAGCAGUGGGGAAUAUUGCGCAAUGGACGAAAGUCUGACGCAGCGACGCCGCGUGGAGGAUGAAGGUUUUCGGAUCGUAAACUCCUGUCAAGAGGGAAGAAACCUAUUAUGAAUAAUACUCAUAGUAAUUGACGGUACCUCUAGAGGAAGCACCGGCUAAUUCAGUGCCAGCAGCCGCGGUAAUACUGAAGGUGCAAGCGUUAAUCGGAAUCACUGGGCGUAAAGCGCUCGUAGGUGGCUUUGUAAGUCAGGUGUGAAAGCCCACGGCUCAACCGUGGAAUUGCACUUAAUACUGCAUCGCUAGAGUAUAGGAGAGGGAAGUGGAAUUUCUGGUGUAGGAGUGAAAUCCGUAGAGAUCAGAAGGAACACCCGUGGCGAAGGCGACUUCCUGAACAAUUACUGACACUGAGGAGCGAAAGCGUGGGGAGCACCUGGGAUUACAUACCCUGGUAUUCCACACCGAAACUAUCCGUACUAAGUCUUGCGACGGAGCAAAGUAUUAG